UACAGAGGGUGCGAGCGUUGUUCGGAAUUAUUGGGCGUAAAGGGCCAGUAGGCGGCCAACUAAGUCACACGUGAAAUCCCCAGGCUUAACCUGGGAACUGCGUGUGAUACUGGAUGGCUUGAAUUCGGGAGAGGGAUGCAGAAUUCCAGGUGUAGCGGUGAAAUGCGUAGAUAUCUGGAGGAAUACCGGUGGCGAAGGUAGGUCUCUGGGCCACUACUGACGCUGAGAAGCGAAAGCAUGGGGAGCGAACAGG
RNAcentral lists this ribosomal RNA (253 nucleotides) under uncultured bacterium. RNAcentral's name for it is "partial 16S ribosomal RNA". It matches the Rfam family "Bacterial small subunit ribosomal RNA", at positions 524 to 776 of the family's 1533-position model. The record is from RNAcentral.